CUGAUGGAGCACACCGCGUGAGUGAAGAAGGGUUUCGGCUCGUAAAGCUCUGUUGUUGGAGAAGAACGUGCGUGAGAGUAACUGUUCACGCAGUGACGGUAUCCAACCAGAAAGUCACGGCUAACUACGUGCCAGCAGCCGCGGUAAUACGUAGGUGGCAAGCGUUAUCCGGAUUUAUUGGGCGUAAAGCGAGCGCAGGCGGUUGCUUAGGUCUGAUGUGAAAGCCUUCGGCUUAACCGAAGAAGUGCAUCGGAAACCGGGCGACUUGAGUGCAGAAGAGGACAGUGGAACUCCAUGUGUAGCGGUGGAAUGCGUAGAUAUAUGGAAGAACACCAGUGGCGAAGGCGGCUGUCUGGUCUGCAACUGACGCUGAGGCUCGAAAGCAUGGGUAGCGAACAGGAUUAGAUACCCUGGUAGUCCAUGCCGUAAACGAUGAGUGCUAGGUGUUGGAGGGUUUCCGCCCUUCAGUGCCGGAGCUAACGCAUUAAGCACUCCGCCUGGGGAGUACGACCGCAAGGUUGAAACUC
Molecule: ribosomal RNA, 527 nt
Filed under: uncultured Lactobacillus sp.
Lineage: Bacteria; Bacillati; Bacillota; Bacilli; Lactobacillales; Lactobacillaceae
Description: bacterial SSU rRNA
Rfam family: Bacterial small subunit ribosomal RNA
Source: RNAcentral